AAGCUUUUGAAGUUGUUUUGCUGGUCUUUAGGGACAUUGUGCACGCUUCAUUAGUUUUCACUUUAUACCCCUGUGCACCUUUGAUAGAUUUUGGGUUUGGUUAUCCUUUGGUUAUUUUUUCUUAAUUGAGAAAAGCCCUUGGGUUUCUUUAAAGGAUUUUUUUAUUAUCCCCCCCACCAAAGGUAUGUUUUAUUAAGGAAUGGGUUUAUAAUAAACAAGGCCAUGACCUUUAUAAACUUAAUACAACUUUCAACAAGGGAUUUCUGGGUUUUGGCAUGGAGGAAGAAGGCAGGGAAAUGGGAUAAGUAAUGGGAAUGGCAGAAUUCAGGGAUUCAUGGAUUCUUGGAACGCCCCUUGCGCCCUUGGGUAUUCGGAAGGCCAUCCCUGUUGGAGGGUCAUUAAAUUUUCAAAUUUUAGGACUUUAUUGUGGUAGCUGUUGGGAUUGUGGGGGGUGGCGGGGUUCUUCUUUGGAAUUGGGUUCUUUUUAAAUCCAUAAGGGGGACUUGGUGGCUUUUGCGCAAAGGGGGAUAAUAAUUUACGUUAGACGCAUGCAAUUCUUAUAUUGUCCAGCUUUCUAAUCGUCUCAAGGGACAAUUACUUGACAAUUGACCUCAAAUCAGGUAGA
This 625-nucleotide ribosomal RNA is filed under the name Pleurotus djamor. RNAcentral describes it as "eukaryotic LSU rRNA". The stretch from base 245 to 398 matches the Rfam family "5.8S ribosomal RNA". The record is from RNAcentral. Lineage: Eukaryota; Fungi; Basidiomycota; Agaricomycetes; Agaricales; Pleurotaceae.